This 341-nucleotide unclassified non-coding RNA is filed under the name soil metagenome. Its description in RNAcentral is "partial contains 5.8S ribosomal RNA, internal transcribed spacer 2, and large subunit ribosomal RNA". The stretch from base 1 to 121 matches the Rfam family "5.8S ribosomal RNA", at positions 35 to 154 of the family's 154-position model. The record is from RNAcentral.
GAUGAAGAACGUAGCGAAAUGCGAUAAGUAAUGCGAAUUGCAGAAUUCCAGUGAGUCAUCGAAUCUUUGAACGCACAUUGCGCCCCUCGGCAUUCCGUGGGGCAUGCCUGUUCGAGCGUCAUUACACCCCUCAAGCUCUGCUUGGUGUUGGGCCUCUGUCGCGCCCCUUUCGGCGCAGACUGGCCUCAAAUGCUUCUGGCAGCCUCCCCGCCGGCCCUCUCAGCGCAGCAGUUCGCGCCUGGGAGCCGGCGGGAGCGCCGCCUCCCCCGAAGACCCCCCAUGUUUGACCUCGAAUCAGGUAGGGAUACCCGCUGAACUUAAGCAUAUCAAUAAGCGGAGGA